Long non-coding RNA from Cavia porcellus (domestic guinea pig), 1788 nucleotides. RefSeq lists it as uncharacterized. The transcript has 2 exons. Lineage: Eukaryota; Metazoa; Chordata; Mammalia; Rodentia; Caviidae. The record is from RefSeq and is a predicted model, not a curated record.
UCGCACUUAAUAGAAUUUUUACAGCUCUAUUUUGGAACACUUCCUUCCUGAGAAUAUGGAAGAAAUAUCAAGUAUUAUUAUACUUCCUCAAGGUUUUUAAAUUUCAUGUUUUAGUGUUCAUUUUAAGCCUUCACAAUCAACUUGGACCCACAGACACUAAUUUGUGACUAGAGGCCAGACUAGUUCGCACACAAAGCAAUUAAAUUUGGCAAGCUAUGAUUCCAAGGAUGAAUAUUUUCCAGUUGCGGUAGGAAGCCAAAUGCACAGAAAAGAAAACAGCUGUUUCACGUUAGUUCCUGAUGGGACUUUUCAUGCUCACGCCGCCAAGUUUAUUUUCCAUUCAGACGCACUGUGAGAGCGCAGUUGUCUUGGCUGCCCUCGAAUGUCUCCAGUUGCUCUGGGAGGCUGAGGUGGCUCUGUGCUAUGGUCAUUUAGCCCGGGGUAACCAGUCGAAUUGGUCAAAUGCCAAGGCAGACUUCAUGUGUUAGCUACUUAACGGCUUCCUUUGGUAACGGUCACAGCCCAGCUGAGGGAGAAACAUCAGACCCCUCACCCAGGGGUGUGCUUACUUGGCUUCUCCAACUUCUGGAAACCAUGAUUCCCAGGCAUUCCAGCAGACCUGAGGGGUCAGGGAUUAGUUGAGCAGCACUCAUGUCCUCAAGCUGGCCUUUGGAAGCAAAGAAUGUUUUGAAUUUCUCACCAGUGACGAAGCUACUGAAUCACCGGGGGCUGAGAGCAGUGGCCCGCAGAACAGGAAAGGUGGCCCUGGGAGGGGACUACACCUUCUAUGCUGCCACAGGCACAGGGCGGCACCCUGCCUGGGAGCCAGAGGUCUCGCCCAUGCCUUCUGCAUCUGGCCCUCUUUCCCUUGAUGUGACCCUGAGCUUGCCUCAGGGAACCUUCACAGUUCCCUCUCAGGCCUUGAGUGCGGAAUUUAAUCAAUAGAGGAGAGUUUUUCAAAGCACUUCCAGGCUGCCUUCCUCGAUGCUACAUGCUGACAUGUUUCAAGAGCACUACACUUCCUAAAAUGCACCCUUCCCUCCCCUUGGAAAACAAGAGGCGGCUUUGUUCCAGUGUGUCAUCAUGGCUGACUUGGAGCAGAGGCAGUUUUCCAUUUGGCAGAAAUGCAUGUAAAUGGAUGACUUAAAAAAGCACUUUGGGUUUAUUUUUAAGCUAACACUUAUGCAACUACUGUGGUAUCAUCAGAUCAGAGAACAUUUUAGAUGAGAAAACAAGUGCCGGCGUUGACUCCUUUUGCAGCCAUGUACAGAGAAUGGCCACAACCAGUGGGGAUGAAGCACGUUCCACUGCACAGCGACCUGAAUGGCAGCACAGCCUGGCGUAUCUCAUUCAGAGGUGACACUUGCCAUGGAGGGGAGAGAAUGCAAGGAUUCCACAGAUGCCACUUCCAGCCCUGGGCUUACAGCACUGGAUCUAAAAAAUCUGCAGGAGAGCUGUUCUGCGAUGUUUCUGCAUUAGAUAAGCAGUGUUUUCCCUCUGAUGCUUUCACAAACUGGAGGACGGCUUGGCACCGCAGAUUUGCAGCUCCUGGGCUCACUACUUACCAGUUGUGCAACUCAGCAAAAGCGGCCUUGAUCUUCUUCACAGAGCUGUCCACUUCCUCCUUGAUCAUGACACGGUAUCUGGUUAGGGAAACAGUGCAGCGUUGCAGAUCCUUCACUGAUUUUUCAAUAUUUGGGCCUAAAAUUGAUGUCAAGAAAAAAAAGUAUUACUUUGAGCACUUUAUCCUUUGUGUGCUACACAAUAAAACAAACCAACACACCAAAA